GAUGAACGCUGGCGGCGUGCUUAACACAUGCAAGUCGAACGGAAAGGCCAGUGCUUGCACUGGUACUCGAGUGGCGAACGGGUGAGUAACACGUGGGUGAUCUGCCCUGCACUUCGGGAUAAGCCUGGGAAACUGGGUCUAAUACCGGAUAGGACAAUGGUUUGGAUGCCGUUGUGGAAAGUGUUUUCGGGGUGGGAUGAGCUCGCGGCCUAUCAGCUUGUUGGUGGGGUAAUGGCCUACCAAGGCGUCGUCGGGUAGCCGGCCUGUGAGGGUGUACGGCCACAUUGGGGCUUAGAUACGGCCCAGACUCCUCCGGGGGGCAGCAGUGGGGAAUAUUGUACAAUGGGCGCAAGCCGGAUGCGGCGACGCCGCGUGGGGGAUGACGGCCUUCGGGUUGUAAACUCCUUUCGCUAGGGACGAAGCGUAUUUGUGACGGUACCUGGAGAAGAAGCACCGGCUAACUACGUG
This 468-nucleotide ribosomal RNA is filed under the name uncultured bacterium. RNAcentral describes it as "partial 16S ribosomal RNA". It matches the Rfam family "Bacterial small subunit ribosomal RNA", at positions 28 to 507 of the family's 1533-position model. The record is from RNAcentral.